UGCUUGGGAAGUGGUGAUGAUGGUGUGAUUUUACUUUUGGGAAAUUUCCUAGAAAUUCCUAAAAGGGUAAUUUUAUGGGCUGAAAUUACCAAAAAGGCUAUAUAAUCAUAACAUUUUAAAAAAUUUGUUUCAAAACUAAUUUUUCUUUUAAUUUUAUAAAACCGAUGUCUGAUUAGAAAUCUAAAAUAUUUUUAUUCUGAUUUUUAUAUUUUUAAAUAUGUUUUAAAAUUAUGUUGCUAGACGAAACGACAGAAUGCAUCACCUUAGAUGGCGAGAGUUCAGUAACCAAAAGCAUCACUAGUCUACGCUCUGACCUAAGUAGCAUGAGGCACGUGGAAUCCCGUGUGAAUUAGCAAUUACCACCUUGCAAGACUAAAUAUUCCUAGGUGACCGAUAGCGAAGUAAUACCAUGAGGGAAGGAUGAAAAGAACCCCCAUCGAGGAGUGAAAUAGAACAUGAAA
RNAcentral lists this non-coding RNA (461 nucleotides) under Vitis vinifera (wine grape). Its description in RNAcentral is "Bacterial large subunit ribosomal RNA". It matches the Rfam family "Bacterial large subunit ribosomal RNA", at positions 94 to 555 of the family's 2925-position model. Lineage: Eukaryota; Viridiplantae; Streptophyta; Magnoliopsida; Vitales; Vitaceae. The record is from Rfam by way of RNAcentral.